Molecule: ribosomal RNA, 464 nt
Filed under: uncultured bacterium
Lineage: Bacteria
Description: partial 16S ribosomal RNA
Rfam family: Bacterial small subunit ribosomal RNA
Source: RNAcentral
GACGAACGCUGGCGGCGUGCUUAACACAUGCAAGUCGAACGGAAAGGCCCUGCUUGCAGGGUACUCGAGUGGCGAACGGGUGAGUAACACGUGGGUGAUCUGCCCUGCACUUCGGGAUAAGCCUGGGAAACUGGGUCUAAUACCGGAUAUGACCUUCCAUGUAGUGUGGGGGGUGGAAAGAUUUAUCGGUGUGGGAUGAGCCCGCGGCCUAUCAGCUUGUUGGUGGGGUAAUGGCCUACCAAGGCGUCGACGGGUAGCCGGCCUGAGAGGGUGGACGGCCACAUUGGGACUGAGAUACGGCCCAGACUCCUACGGGAGGCAGCAGUGGGGAAUAUUGCACAAUGGGCGGAAGCCUGAUGCAGCGACGCCGCGUGGGGGAUGACGGCCUUCGGGUUGUAAACCUCUUUCGACAGGGACGAAGCUUCGGUGACGGUACCUGUAUAAGAAGCACCGGCUAACUACGU